This 668-nucleotide unclassified non-coding RNA is filed under the name Bombus terrestris (buff-tailed bumblebee). RNAcentral's name for it is "misc RNA ENSBTSG00005034382.1". The record is from RNAcentral. Lineage: Eukaryota; Metazoa; Arthropoda; Insecta; Hymenoptera; Apidae.
CCACGCUUUUAACGCAAAACAAAUAUCCAGAAUAAAACUUACUUGAAAUAUUCUUGAGCAGCGCUCGUGUACCACGUAUUGUUGUAGCCUUGAUUUGAAUCUCUACCCAAAUGUUCGGCUAUUAGAGAAGAAUUACUAGGUUCUAUCGAAUCGAGCGAACCAAACAUAUUGUCGAAUGUAUAAGAAAUAUUAGCGUCAAACGCUCGACAAUGUGGUGUAUUCCAUGGAUUGUCACAUGUGGUCCAAGGUAAAAGGCUGGAGAAUGAGGCGAAGAAAUACCUCACUUUUAAAAGUGGCACCAGGCGACCCCAACAAGUGAUCGCACCUUUUCGAUUGAACUGGCCCAGAGCAAGUUCCAUGUAAAACAGCGGAAUUCCUCCUACCACCAACAUUAUACAAUAUGGAACCAGAAAAGCCCCUGCAAGCAUAAAUAUAGUAUAACAUAAAUAAUAAAAUAAUAACUUUCUCUAUGAUAAUCAGAUAUAACAAAAAUUUCUAAAACUGUAAUUAACGGAGCGAAGAAAUGUCUGAACGUUAAAAACUUUUAAAUACUUUCACGUAUGCUGGUAUUUAGGUAUAAAUAAAAUAACACCAAGUUUUUUCAUUAGAAAACGAGAAAAUCAUGUUCAUAUCUUUGAUAAAAUUGAACGCAUUUAAUUUAUUUACAG